AAAUUGAAGAGUUUGAUCAUGGCUCAGAUUGAACGCUGGCGGCAGGCCUAACACAUGCAAGUCGAGCGGCAGCGGGAAAGUAGCUUGCUACUUU
Molecule: ribosomal RNA, 94 nt
Filed under: Aeromonas caviae
Lineage: Bacteria; Pseudomonadati; Pseudomonadota; Gammaproteobacteria; Aeromonadales; Aeromonadaceae
Also listed under: 3 other names
Description: partial 16S ribosomal RNA
Rfam family: Bacterial small subunit ribosomal RNA
Source: RNAcentral